AAACAAGAUCAGAUGAUCGCUGAAGGUAGAAGAAAUGCCAUACACAUACAAGAUUUGAUAACCUGUAAAAGCUUUCAGAUACAAGUGUGCAUCACCCACAACACUAACUUCAGAUGAGGAGAGCAAACUUCCUAAGAGCUGCUUGUACAUUUUCUCAUUUCUCAUUGUGAAGAAAAAAGUGGAAGUAGCCAGAGAAACUCAGAGACCUUCAACUGGUGGAAAGUAGACCUUAAAAUAAAAGAAGCGGACAAAGAACUUGCUAAGCUUCCACAUACAACAUAUGCACAUUUGUAGAAAAUAAAAGGUAUGUUUAGGGGGAAAACUGGGGCUGUUUAAGUUAAGAGUGCUGAGGGAAUGAGUAACCCAUUGCUUGAUGUCUGGCCAUUUAAAAGGCUCUGCACAAUUCGUUUUUCAUCUGUAGUGCAACAAUCCAUAUUUGUCUCUGAUGCUGCCAGGGAAAAUAUACUAGUGCAGCCUAAGAAUACUAUUUAAAAGUGAAAGAAACAACCACUAUUUAAUUAUCUUGUUUUUUCUUACAGUUAUAAAGGCUGAUGUUACUUAAAAUCUCAAAAGCUCUUUCCCUGCUUUCCCUCAGAACCAUUGUAAACAUCAACUAUUGUUUACAAGAUGUAACCUAUUACUUUGAAAUAUCAUUUUAUUAUUUUUAAAUGAGGUAAUUUGCAAUUCCCUGUACCAUCAUAGGUGUCUCGUUCUGAGCCUCCUUGAAAAGGAAAUUUAUAAAAUAAUAACACAGUGUGUUUUUUGUGUGACAAUACAAUUUAUUUUUAACAAAUCGAUGCUGCACUUUAACCUUCUGAUUGUUUACCUUUUAUGUAUCUAUUAGACACAGAAACUGCAUUAUAGAGUAUUUUAGCUCUCUACUGAUAAACAGGAAGAAAGAAAUGAAACUCCUUAUAAAGGGCAUUCAUUCAGAAGUAUAAUUAAUAUUCUCUUCCCUUGUUAAAAAUAAUAGCUGUUUUCUGUUUGUUCCUUUUCAUUUCAAUUAAACUAUCCUUAGUGUUUCAUAUAGAGGAAGGUUUCCUUUUGUUCAUUUUUUUUUUCUUUUUGCCACUAGAAAGCAACAUUUGAACUUCCUCCUAAUCUAGUAGUAUUGGCUAUAACAUGCUUGGGUACAGCAACUAAUAUCAAAGCCCACUUUCUAUAUUUUUGGCAAUUAUUCUAAAUAAUAUGUUCUUAUAUUCAGGGCACUUUUAAAAACUAUUUCAAAUAGGCUAAAUACAUUAAUUAAAUGGUUCUCAAGAUUGUUUCUCAAUCCAAUUCCCACCACUCUGUGAAGCUCCAGAGGUCUUUUCAAUUCCUUGAAGUGUUCUGCCAUUUAUUCUGAAAUUAUGAAAUUAUAAGACAGAAGUGCGAGUUUCUCACAGUCAUUAAUGUGUUAAAGGAGAUGUACACUAGAG
This 1418-nucleotide long non-coding RNA is filed under the name Homo sapiens (human). RNAcentral's name for it is "HSALNT0127670". The record is from RNAcentral. Lineage: Eukaryota; Metazoa; Chordata; Mammalia; Primates; Hominidae.